ACCACCUUUUGUUGAAACUUGAGUUAUGAAUGAACCUUACCAUACUGAUGCUUUCUGACUGAGCUCCUUUUUACCCUGAAUGCAAGAGACCCUCAUAGGCAGGCAGGAAUAUCAUUGCCCUAUUUAGCCUGAAGAAGUUAUAGAAGAUGGAUCUUCGUCCCUCUGCAACCCUUAGGAUUAAGGGUUCUCUUAGACGGGGGGAAAUGUCAGAGGCGUAUGAACCAGAGCAACUCCAUCUUAAACAGGCUGGGUAAAAUGAGGCUAAAACCUACUGGCCUGCAUUCCCAGAUGAUUAAGGCAUUCUAAGUCACGGGAUGAGAUAGGAGGUCAGCACAAAAUACAGGUCAUAAAGACCUUGAUGAUAAAACAGUUGCAGUAAAGGAGCCGG
RNAcentral lists this long non-coding RNA (388 nucleotides) under Homo sapiens (human). Its description in RNAcentral is "HSALNT0188936". Lineage: Eukaryota; Metazoa; Chordata; Mammalia; Primates; Hominidae. The record is from RNAcentral.